Phyllostomus discolor (pale spear-nosed bat) is the source of this 108-nucleotide small nuclear RNA. The record is from RefSeq and is a predicted model, not a curated record. NCBI's taxonomy places the organism in Eukaryota, Metazoa, Chordata, Mammalia, Chiroptera, Phyllostomidae.
GUGCUCGCUUCGGCAGCACAUAUACUAAAAUGUGGAAUGACACGGAGAAGAUUAGCAUGGCCCCUGCACAAGGAUGACACGCAAAUUCGUGAAGCAUUCCAUAUUUUA